Mycena vulgaris is the source of this 110-nucleotide non-coding RNA. The record is from the annotation of a GenBank genome assembly. Lineage: Eukaryota; Fungi; Basidiomycota; Agaricomycetes; Agaricales; Mycenaceae.
GGCGCUAUGGCCGAGUGGUUAAGGCGACAGAUUAGAACCAGAAUUUCAUCAUUCCAGUCUCAAUUAUCUGUUCCGGUUUCCGGGCGCAGGUUCAAAUCCUGCUGGCGUCG